Molecule: long non-coding RNA, 483 nt
Filed under: Phoenix dactylifera (date palm)
Lineage: Eukaryota; Viridiplantae; Streptophyta; Magnoliopsida; Arecales; Arecaceae
Description: long non-coding RNA (PDAC_LNC004759)
Source: RNAcentral
UGAGUCCAUGUAUCGUUUGAAAAAAUCCUAGCUGAUUUGGACUCUUAGUCCAUGUAUCUUUAGUUGGUUUAGUAGAUUGCGUCAGUUGAUUCGUCAGCUGAUUUUAUCAAUUGAUUUCGUCAGUUAAUUUCGUCAAAUGAUUGAUUUGACUUAAAAGAGUCCAUAUUUAGUUGGAGUCCGAAAAUUCUGGUUGUAAGAGUUUUUAUUUUUCCAAUCUCUUACUCUAUAUAAAUGGAAGGUUGAAGAAUAAAAUUCAGAAUUAAUUUUAGUUUUCAAUUACUCUUGAGAUUGAGAAGCGUGAGGCUUCUUCUUCCUCCUUUGGUAAGACUCCAAAGGUUCCUUUCUUCCUCAGUGAGACGCCGGAAAAUAAUUGGGUUUAGGAUAAAGGUGAGACUCUUUUAUUCAGCUCAUCAUUAUCAUGUUACUAUCAAAACUGCAGCACCUUUCUUUGUUUCUUCUUCCACCCCGCCAAUCUUCAUCAUA